This 275-nucleotide ribosomal RNA is filed under the name uncultured prokaryote. RNAcentral describes it as "partial 16S ribosomal RNA". It matches the Rfam family "Bacterial small subunit ribosomal RNA", at positions 524 to 798 of the family's 1533-position model. The record is from RNAcentral.
CACGUAGGAGGCAAACGUUAUCCGGAUUUACUGGGCGUAAAGCGCGUGUAGGUGGUUCUGUAAGUAGGGCGUGAAAGCUCCCGGCUCAACUGGGAGAGGCCGUUCUAAACUGCAGAGCUAGAGGAUGGUAGAGGGAGGUGGAAUUCCAGGUGUAGCGGUGAAAUGCGUAGAGAUCGGAAGGAACACCAGUGGCGAAGGCGACUACCUGGACCGAUACUGACACUGAGGUGCAAAAGCGUGGGUAGCAAACAGGAUUAGAUACCCGUGUAGUCCCU